This 74-nucleotide transfer RNA is filed under the name Omnitrophica bacterium RIFCSPLOWO2_01_FULL_45_10b. RNAcentral's name for it is "tRNA-Lys". It matches the Rfam family "tRNA". Rfam says of the family: Transfer RNA (tRNA) molecules are approximately 80 nucleotides in length. Their secondary structure includes four short double-helical elements and three loops (D, anti-codon, and T loops). The record is from RNAcentral. Lineage: Bacteria; Pseudomonadati; Candidatus Omnitrophota.
GAGCCCGUAGCUCAGCCUGGUAGAGCACUUCCCUUUUAAGGAAGGUGUCGAUGGUUCGAAUCCAUCCGGGCUCA